Molecule: long non-coding RNA, 766 nt
Filed under: Rattus norvegicus (Norway rat)
Lineage: Eukaryota; Metazoa; Chordata; Mammalia; Rodentia; Muridae
Description: long non-coding RNA NONRATT016597
Source: RNAcentral
GAGCUGGCGUCACACUUAGCCAUCCUGGCCUGUGAGCGGGUGCCCCCUUGCCAACACAGUGGCUAGGCAACUCACUUGCCCCUGGGAGAAGUGCGCUGCGGAGCAGACCUAGGGGAAAGGGAACCUUUCCUCAGACCUUGCCUAGCACUCUUAGGAUUGAGUCCACCCCCGUUCUGUACAUAGCCUCUUCUGAUGGUCUUAUUGAAAUUCAAUUUCACAUUUUUAACUAUCAAUUUUCCCCGGGGUGGGGAAGAAUCUUCACCUCACCCCUUCCUCGCUGGGUGCUGGACCCCCAUUGCGGCCUGGGCUCUGCCUUGCACUAUUUAACCCUUUGGCCUAGUGGCCCUUCCCCCUCCUGGAAAGGGGCAGGUUCAGGGGCCCGGUGCUCUCCUCUCCCCACGCACCUCCAUGCCCAUUUGCACAGCUGCCCAGGUACCCCCAACAGUGGGGAGGGGUCACACAGGGAGGGGUGGCGGGACCAGUCCCUGUAUCUAUUUAAAAAGUGAUGUAAUAUAUUAGGAGGGAGGUCAGGUGCCCUGGGCCUCAUCUUAGCAUUUCAGGUGAUAGGGGAGCCCGCGGCUGGAGAAACCUGGGGCUAAGUCCCAGAGAGUGGGGACAGUGGCCUCCACUCUCUCUCCUUGUGGCUUUCCCACUCAGUGCCUUAGUGGGGGAAAGCAUUCCCCCUACCAUUCCCUUCAUCUACCCUUGCCCCCUCCCCCUGCCUCGGGUGUAAGUGACAGGAAGAAAUAAUAAUAAUUUAAGAUUC